This 483-nucleotide ribosomal RNA is filed under the name uncultured bacterium. Its description in RNAcentral is "partial 16S ribosomal RNA". It matches the Rfam family "Bacterial small subunit ribosomal RNA", at positions 30 to 506 of the family's 1533-position model. The record is from RNAcentral.
AUUGAACGCUGGCGGCAGGCCUAACACAUGCAAGUCGAGCGGAUGAAAGGAGCUUGCUCCUGGAUUCAGCGGCGGACGGGUGAGUAAUGCCUAGGAAUCUGCCUGGUAGUGGGGGAUAACGUCCGGAAACGGGCGCUAAUACCGCAUACGUCCUGAGGGAGAAAGUGGGGGAUCUUCGGACCUCACGCUAUCAGAUGAGCCUAGGUCGGAUUAGCUAGUUGGUGGGGUAAAGGCCUACCAAGGCGACGAUCCGUAACUGGUCUGAGAGGAUGAUCAGUCACACUGGAACUGAGACACGGUCCCGACUCCUACGGGAGGCAGCAGUGGGGAAUAUUGGACAAUGGGCGAAAGCCUGAUCCAGCCAUGCCGCGUGUGUGAAGAAGGUCUUCGGAUUGUAAAGCACUUUAAGUUGGGAGGAAGGGCAGUAAGUUAAUACCUUGCUGUUUUGACGUUACCAACAGAAUAAGCACCGGCUAACUUCGU